AAUGCAUAUGAUGAUUAUUUACACUUAAUGAUUUAUGUUGAUUAUUAAUUACAUGCACUACCAACUGAAGCAUU
Molecule: small nucleolar RNA, 74 nt
Filed under: Cinara cedri
Lineage: Eukaryota; Metazoa; Arthropoda; Insecta; Hemiptera; Aphididae
Source: RNAcentral